UCUGAGAGCCUCUGCAUCAU
This 20-nucleotide microRNA is filed under the name Equus caballus (horse). RNAcentral describes it as "eca-miR-8941". The record is from miRBase by way of RNAcentral. Lineage: Eukaryota; Metazoa; Chordata; Mammalia; Perissodactyla; Equidae.